UACGAAGGGGGCUAGCGUUGUUCGGAUUUACUGGGCGUAAAGCGCACGUAGGCGGAUCUUUAAGUCAGAGGUGAAAUCCCAAGGCUCAACCUUGGAACUGCCUUUGAUACUGGGGAUCUUGAGUCCGGGAGAGGUGAGUGGAACUGCGAGUGUAGAGGUGAAAUUCGUAGAUAUUCGCAAGAACACCAGUGGCGAAGGCAGCUCUCUGGGACGGUACUGACGCUGAGGAGCGAAAGCGUGGGGAGCGAACAGG
Molecule: ribosomal RNA, 253 nt
Filed under: uncultured bacterium
Lineage: Bacteria
Description: partial 16S ribosomal RNA
Rfam family: Bacterial small subunit ribosomal RNA
Source: RNAcentral